RNAcentral lists this transfer RNA (91 nucleotides) under Diaporthe ampelina. It matches the Rfam family "tRNA". From Rfam's summary of the family: Transfer RNA (tRNA) molecules are approximately 80 nucleotides in length. Their secondary structure includes four short double-helical elements and three loops (D, anti-codon, and T loops). Further hydrogen bonds mediate the characteristic L-shaped molecular structure. tRNAs have two regions of fundamental functional importance: the anti-codon, which is responsible for specific mRNA codon recognition, and the 3' end, to which the tRNAs corresponding amino acid is attached (by aminoacyl-tRNA synthetases). tRNAs cope with the degeneracy of the genetic code in two manners: having more than one tRNA (with a specific anti-codon) for a particular amino acid; and 'wobble' base-pairing, i.e. permitting non-standard base-pairing at the 3rd anti-codon position. Lineage: Eukaryota; Fungi; Ascomycota; Sordariomycetes; Diaporthales; Diaporthaceae. The record is from Rfam by way of RNAcentral.
GGUUCUAUAGUGUAGCUGGUCAUCACAUCGGAUUCUGAUUCCCUUCAUCAGUAUCCUUCCGGGAACUUGGGUUCGAAUCCCAAUAGGACCU